ACAAACAGUGAGCGACAAAAUGCGGCGUUGAAUGUUAAGUUUAGGCACCAAAACGACAUGUUAAGUUUAGCAAAAAGAUCUUGGUUUGGAUCAAAACACUUGAGAGGAACGAACAGUCGUUUCCUGGGUCAAAGUAAUACAAUUAUCUUAUUCAAUUAUGCAAGAUUUUG
Long non-coding RNA from Sander lucioperca (pikeperch), 170 nucleotides. RefSeq lists it as uncharacterized. NCBI's taxonomy places the organism in Eukaryota, Metazoa, Chordata, Actinopteri, Perciformes, Percidae. The transcript has 3 exons. The record is from RefSeq and is a predicted model, not a curated record.